Molecule: ribosomal RNA, 279 nt
Filed under: uncultured bacterium
Lineage: Bacteria
Description: partial 16S ribosomal RNA
Rfam family: Bacterial small subunit ribosomal RNA
Source: RNAcentral
UGCCAGCAGCCGCGGUAAUACGGGGGGAGCUAGCGUUGUUCAGAAUUACUGGGCGUAAAGCGUGCGUAGGCGGAUCGACAAGUCUGAUGUGAAAGCCCGGGGCUCAACCCCGGAAGUGCAUUGGAAACUGGCGAACUUGAGUACGGGAGAGGAAAGUGGAAUUCCGAGUGUAGGGGUGAAAUCCGUAGAUAUUCGGAGGAACACCAGUGGCGAAGGCGGCUUUCUGGACCGAUACUGACGCUGAGACGCGAAUGCGUGGGGAGCAAACAGGAUUAGAUA